AUGAACGCUGGCGGCGUGCCUAAUACAUGCAAGUCGAGCGAACGGACGAGAAGCUUGCUUUUCUGAUGUUAGCGGCGGACGGGUGAGUAACACGUGGAUAACCUACCUAUAAGACUGGGAUAACUUCGGGAAACCGGAGCUAAUACCGGAUAAUAUUUUGAACCGCAUGGUUCAAAAGUGAAAGACGGUCUUGCUGUCACUUAUAGAUGGAUCCGCGCUGCAUUAGCUAGUUGGUAAGGUAACGGCUUACCAAGGCAACGAUGCAUAGCCGACCUGAGAGGGUGAUCGGCCACACUGGAACUUAGACACGGUCCAGACUCCUACGGGAGGCAGCAGUAGGGAAUCUUCCGCAAUGGGCGAAAGCCUGACGGAGCAACGCCGCGUGAGUUAUGAAGGUCUUCGGAUCGUAAAACUCUGUUAUUAGUGAAGAACAUAUGUGUAAGUAACUGUGCACAUCUUGACGGUACCUAAUCAGAAAGCCACGGCUAACUACGUG
RNAcentral lists this ribosomal RNA (496 nucleotides) under uncultured bacterium. RNAcentral describes it as "partial 16S ribosomal RNA". It matches the Rfam family "Bacterial small subunit ribosomal RNA", at positions 29 to 507 of the family's 1533-position model. The record is from RNAcentral.